UUCCGUAUUGCCGAAGUUUCAUUAUAAAGGUUUAACUAUCGAUCAGCGAAGUGACGAGAGUAUGAUAAAUGUUAUUAUAUAUGAAAACCACAAAUUAUUAUCAACUGGUUAUCUUAUAAGUUCAAUUAAACUAUAUUUCAAUAGUCUAUUAAUUUCCGAUGUUGAAGCAUUCUCCUCGCUGAUUGGUCAAAAGUCUUUGCGGGAAAACGAAGCAUUUUCAUUGGUCACGUUGACCAGUUUGAAAAAUUAAGCAAGACCGUAGGUGAAAGGCCAAAAGGUCGAAGGGAAUAAGGAAUUAUUUACCCAUAUUUACAAACAAGAUGCACGCGCUUGUGGAAUGGAUAGACGAAGAAAAAGUAAGCACCAUCAGUCUGACUCGAAUUAAAGAACCGAGGAAAGAUUUUACCGGCUACAACGUGGGUGAAACGGUGAAAGCUAGCUGCCAUGGCUUUCCAGGAAUCCAUAGUGCACGGAUUUUGAUGAUCAAAGAAUCAACAACAGAGGGAAAGAAAGCAUUGGAGAAAAUGGCAGAGGAAUACAUUGCAGAGAAAAAUGAAAAACAGAAGG
Magallana angulata is the source of this 567-nucleotide long non-coding RNA. RefSeq lists it as uncharacterized. The transcript is spliced from 2 exons. Lineage: Eukaryota; Metazoa; Mollusca; Bivalvia; Ostreida; Ostreidae. The record is from RefSeq and is a predicted model, not a curated record.